This 773-nucleotide ribosomal RNA is filed under the name uncultured Neocallimastigales. RNAcentral's name for it is "partial large subunit ribosomal RNA". It matches the Rfam family "Eukaryotic large subunit ribosomal RNA", at positions 23 to 642 of the family's 3401-position model. The record is from RNAcentral. Lineage: Eukaryota; Fungi; Neocallimastigomycota; Neocallimastigomycetes; Neocallimastigales.
AUAGAGACUCAGAGCUGCAUAUCAAUAAGCGGAGGAAAAGAAACUAACGAGGAUUCCCUUAGUAACGGCGAGUGAAGCGGGAAGAGCUCAAAUUUGAAAUCUUCAAGGUUUACCUUGACGAAUUGUAGUUUAAAGAAGUGUUUUCUGAUGAAGUUUUGGUAAAAGUUCUUUGGAAUAGGACAUCAUAGAGGGUGAGAAUCCCGUAUUUGACCAUUAUUUUCAGCUGUGUGAUACACUUUCAAAGAGUCGGAUUGUUUGGGAAUGCAGUCCAAAAUGGGUGGUAAAUUUCAUCUAAAGCUAAAUACUGGCGAGAGACCGAUAGCGAACAAGUACCGUGAGGGAAAGAUGAAAAGAACUUUGAAAAGAGAGUUAAACAGUACGUGAAAUUGUCAAAAGGGAAGCGUUUGACCCCAGUGUUGUUUUUCCGAAAAUCAAUUACGAAUGUUUUGUUUUUGAGGAGUUAUGACUUCAUCGGCUUGCUCCUUUCUUUACGAAACUUUCUUAAUGCACUUUUCGGUUAACAAGUCAACAUCAAUUUCUUUUGUUGUAAAAGGGUCAUUGGAAGGUGGCUUUCUUUUCGGAGAAAGUGUUUAUAGCCUUUGGCCUCUGCAAUCGGAGAGAUUGAGGUCUGCAGCGUAGAUCCUUCGGGGUUAGAUACAUUUGUGCUAAGUUAUAGCCUUUCAUAGACAACUUGUUGACUAUGAUCAGUCAUGUAGCUUACUCGCUUAUGCUAUUUUACCUACGCUUAGAAUGUUGACGAUCAGCUGAGCGCG